UACGGAGGGUGCAAGCGUUAUCCGGAUUCACUGGGUUUAAAGGGUGCGUAGGUGGGCAGUUAAGUCAGUGGUGAAAUCUCCGGGCUCAACCCGGAAACUGCCAUUGAUACUAGCUGUCUUGAAUAUCGUGGAGGUAAGCGGAAUAUGUCAUGUAGCGGUGAAAUGCUUAGAUAUGACAUAGAACACCAAUUGCGAAGGCAGCUUACUACCCGAAUAUUGACACUGAGGCACGAAAGCGUGGGGAUCAAACAGG
This 253-nucleotide ribosomal RNA is filed under the name uncultured bacterium. RNAcentral describes it as "partial 16S ribosomal RNA". It matches the Rfam family "Bacterial small subunit ribosomal RNA", at positions 524 to 776 of the family's 1533-position model. The record is from RNAcentral.